GGCCCGAUGGUCUAGUAGAAUGAUUGUUGUUUCGGGUAUGACAGGUCCCGGGUUCAAAUCCCGGUCGGGCCC
RNAcentral lists this transfer RNA (72 nucleotides) under Sclerotinia sclerotiorum 1980 UF-70. Its description in RNAcentral is "tRNA-Pro (CGG) (tRNA-Pro-CGG-1-1)". It matches the Rfam family "tRNA". Rfam says of the family: Transfer RNA (tRNA) molecules are approximately 80 nucleotides in length. Their secondary structure includes four short double-helical elements and three loops (D, anti-codon, and T loops). Further hydrogen bonds mediate the characteristic L-shaped molecular structure. tRNAs have two regions of fundamental functional importance: the anti-codon, which is responsible for specific mRNA codon recognition, and the 3' end, to which the tRNAs corresponding amino acid is attached (by aminoacyl-tRNA synthetases). tRNAs cope with the degeneracy of the genetic code in two manners: having more than one tRNA (with a specific anti-codon) for a particular amino acid; and 'wobble' base-pairing, i.e. permitting non-standard base-pairing at the 3rd anti-codon position. Lineage: Eukaryota; Fungi; Ascomycota; Leotiomycetes; Helotiales; Sclerotiniaceae. The record is from RNAcentral.